RNAcentral lists this ribosomal RNA (472 nucleotides) under uncultured bacterium. RNAcentral describes it as "bacterial SSU rRNA". It matches the Rfam family "Bacterial small subunit ribosomal RNA", at positions 335 to 798 of the family's 1533-position model. The record is from RNAcentral.
ACUCCUACGGGAGGCAGCAGUGGGGAAUAUUGCACAAUGGGCGCAAGCCUGAUGCAGCCAUGCCGCGUGUAUGAAGAAGGCCUUCGGGUUGUAAAGUACUUUCAGCAGUGAGGAAGGUGGGUAUGUUAAUAGCAUACUCAUUUGACGUUAGCUGCAGAAGAAGCACCGGCUAACUCCGUGCCAGCAGCCGCGGUAAUACGGAGGGUGCGAGCGUUAAUCGGAAUUACUGGGCGUAAAGCGCAUGCAGGUGGUUUGUUAAGUACAGAUGUUGAAAGCCCGGGGCUCAACCUCGGAAUUGCAUUUGAAACUGGCAAACUAGAGUACUGUAGAGGGGGGUAGAAUUUCAGGUGUAGCGGUGAAAUGCGUAGAGAUCUGAAGGAAUACCGGUGCGAAGGCGGCCCCCUGGACAGAUACUGACACUCAGAUGCGAAAGCGUGGGGAGCAAACAGGAUUAGAUACCCUGGUAGGCUCU